UACGAAGGGGGCUAGCGUUGUUCGGAAUUACUGGGCGUAAAGCGCGAGUAGGCGGGCCGUUAAGUCGGGGGUGAAAGCCCAGAGCUCAACUCUGGAACUGCCUUCGAUACUGGCGUCCUGGAGCAUUAUAGAGGCGAGUGGAAUUGCGAGUGUAGAGGUGAAAUUCGUAGAUAUUCGCAGGAACACCAGUGGCGAAGGCGACUCGCUGGAUCAUUGCUGAAGCUGAGACGCGAAAGCGUGGGGAGCAAACAGG
RNAcentral lists this ribosomal RNA (253 nucleotides) under uncultured bacterium. Its description in RNAcentral is "partial 16S ribosomal RNA". It matches the Rfam family "Bacterial small subunit ribosomal RNA", at positions 524 to 776 of the family's 1533-position model. The record is from RNAcentral.